This 584-nucleotide ribosomal RNA is filed under the name Lepetodrilus fucensis. RNAcentral describes it as "SSU rRNA". It matches the Rfam family "Eukaryotic small subunit ribosomal RNA", at positions 1190 to 1774 of the family's 1831-position model. The record is from RNAcentral. Lineage: Eukaryota; Metazoa; Mollusca; Gastropoda; Lepetellida; Lepetodrilidae.
UUAAUUUGACUCAACACCGGGAAACUCACCCGGUCCGGACACUGGAAGGAUUGACAGAUUAAAAGCUCUUUCUUGAUUCAGUGGGUGGUGGUGCAUGGCCGUUCUUAGUUGGUGGAGUGAUUUGUCUGGUUAAUUCCGAUAACGAACGAGACUCUAGCCUGCUAACUAGUUCGCCGGCAGCUCUUGUCGCGCGGCGCCGCUUCGGCGGCAAACUUCUUAGAGGGACAGGUGGCGUUUAGCCACACGAAGUAGAGCAAUAACAGGUCUGUGAUGCCCUUAGAUGUCCGGGGCCGCACGCGCGCUACACUGAAAGAAUCAACGUGGAUGCCCACCUGCUCCGAGAGGAGUGGGAAACCCGAUGAAUCUCUUUCGUGAUGGGGAUUGGGGCUUGUAAUUGUUCCCCAUGAACGAGGAAUUCCCAGUAAGCGUCAGUCAUCAGCUGGCGCUGAUUACGUCCCUGCCCUUUGUACACACCGCCCGUCGCUACUACCGAUUGAAUGGUUUAGUGAGACCCUCGGACUGGAGUCCGUCCGCCGCUUUCGGGUGGUGGAUGGGGACGGAAAGACGGUCGAACUUGAUCAUUU